AGGGAUAUAACUCAGUGGUAGAGUAUCACCUUGACGUGGUGAUAGUCAUCGGUUCGAAUCCGAUUAUCCCUAAGAGAUAUAACUCAGUGGUAGAGUGUCACCUUGACGUGGUGAUGGUCAUCGGUUC
Molecule: transfer RNA, 127 nt
Filed under: Podocarpus latifolius (real yellowwood)
Lineage: Eukaryota; Viridiplantae; Streptophyta; Pinopsida; Araucariales; Podocarpaceae
Description: tRNA-Val
Rfam family: tRNA (bases 1-72)
About the family: Transfer RNA (tRNA) molecules are approximately 80 nucleotides in length. Their secondary structure includes four short double-helical elements and three loops (D, anti-codon, and T loops). Further hydrogen bonds mediate the characteristic L-shaped molecular structure. tRNAs have two regions of fundamental functional importance: the anti-codon, which is responsible for specific mRNA codon recognition, and the 3' end, to which the tRNAs corresponding amino acid is attached (by aminoacyl-tRNA synthetases). tRNAs cope with the degeneracy of the genetic code in two manners: having more than one tRNA (with a specific anti-codon) for a particular amino acid; and 'wobble' base-pairing, i.e. permitting non-standard base-pairing at the 3rd anti-codon position.
Source: RNAcentral